GACGAACGCUGGCGGCGUGCUUAACACAUGCAAGUCGAACGGAAAGGCCCUGCUUUUGUGGGGUGCUCGAGUGGCGAACGGGUGAGUAACACGUGAGUAACCUGCCCUUGACUUUGGGAUAACUUCAGGAAACUGGGGCUAAUACCGGAUAGGAGCUCCUGUUGCAUGGUGGGGGUUGGAAAGUUUCGGCGGUUGGGGAUGGACUCGCGGCUUAUCAGCUUGUUGGUGGGGUAGUGGCUUACCAAGGCUUUGACGGGUAGCCGGCCUGAGAGGGUGACCGGCAACAUUGGGACUGAGAUACGGCCCAGACUCCUACGGGAGGCAGCAGUGGGGAAUAUUGCACAAUGGGCGGAAGCCUGAUGCAGCAACGCCGCGUGCGGGAUGACGGCCUUCGGGUUGUAAACCGCUUUCGCCUGUGACGAAGCGUGAGUGACGGUAAUGGGUAAAGAAGCACCGGCUAACUACGUG
This 468-nucleotide ribosomal RNA is filed under the name uncultured bacterium. Its description in RNAcentral is "partial 16S ribosomal RNA". It matches the Rfam family "Bacterial small subunit ribosomal RNA", at positions 28 to 507 of the family's 1533-position model. The record is from RNAcentral.